AAUUGAGCACCAUUAUAUGCCAGGCACUGUUCUAGGACACUAGAACAAGACAAAGGCCCCUGUCCUUGAAGAGCUUACAGUCUACUGGUGCCAAGCCUUAUAAAGAAAAUAAUGCAGAAAAAAGAACAGAGAGCUAUUUUACAUGGGGUGGUCAGGGACUUCCUUGAGGGAGGGAAGAAUGUUCCAGGCAGGGGCAACAUCACAAGCAAAGGCACUAAGGCAGGAACUGGCCCUCAAGUGUUGAAAGAAAAGCAAGGAUACCAGUUUGCUAGACCCGAGUGGCAGCAAAUGAGAUCAGAGAAGCUGACAGCGCCCAGAUCAGGUGUGGAAGGCCAGGAGAAGGACAGCGAUGGGAAGCCUCAAAGGAGACUGAGCAGGGGGGUAACAUGAUUGGAGACAGGGGUCCCCUCCACAGCACCCCUGCUGGAUAGUCCUGUCCAGGGACAGGAUGCUCCCCCAAGACAGCCCACUCUUUUGCUGGGCAAAUCCGAUACAUCCAGGGUCUUCCUUAGAUGCAGUACAAAUCUGCCUCCUGCAAGCUUUCACUUGCUGGUGUUUAUUCCACCCCAUGGGGAAUGCAGAGCACGGACAGUCACACAGACUGUCCUCUCUGGCCUUCUGGACCCAACAUACUCCUCUUGCCAACUGGGUAUUACUGGACCUUACUGGGCCUUAUUGGACCCAACAUACUCCUCUUGCCAACUGGGUAUUAAACAUUUUAAAACCCCUUCAUCUCCCACCACAAGUCAUGUACUGCCAACAGGGACACACUGUUUUCUUUGGAAACCCUGCUGUGUGCCCAGACAGAGGUCCCACUGCCCUGGGACAGCUCCCUUGCCUAGAGGGGAAGGGUAGGGUGUGUGUGCAUGUGUGUGUUUGGGGUUGGGGAGAUUAGCUGAUUAGCAGGGCAGGAAAGAAAUGAAAGAAAAUUUGCAAGUCAUCCUGAUGAAAUGAAAUCCUGCUGAAGUCUUCUCUUUCCCACACUGAGGGUGUCCCUGCAGGAAUGGGACAUUGCACCCAGCUGGGCAUGGGGAGGAGGUCCUGUCAACAGGGACAGGGCUGCAGGCUAUGGUGGGAGAAGAGGGCUUGGUAAAUGUGGAAAGGUGAGGGUGCCCUGGCCAGAUCUCACUGCCCACUGUCUUCACACCCACCGCAGGCUCCCUCAACCUCCUGGUGCGGUCCCGGAACAAAGGGGCUCUGGACACGCACGCCUGGUCCCUCAGUGGCAAUAAGGGCAAUGUGUGGCAGCAGGCCCAUGUGCCCAUCAGCCCCAGUGGGCCCUUCCAGAUUAUUUUUGAGGGGGUUCGAGGCCCGGGCUAUCUGGGGGAUAUUGCCAUAGAUGACGUCACACUGAAGAAGGGGGAGUGUCCCCGGAAGCAGACGGAUCCCAAUAAAGUGGUGGUGAUGCCGGGCAGUGGAGCCCCCUGCCAGUCCAGCCCACAGCUGUGGGGGCCCAUGGCCAUCUUCCUCUUGGCGUUGCAGAGAUGAUGAGAGCUGUGUGGCCACCCCCCCAACCUUGCCCCCGGCACGCCAAAGUGUCCACAUUGUACCAAAGACUGACCCCCGCCAGCUGGGGUGCCCAGGGGCAGGGCCGGCCCGCCAGGGAGGGGGCCUGCAUUGGCUGCAAGGAUGAGCAGAGAACAAGGACAGAGGCCAGGCACUGAGGCCCUGGAGACAGCUGUUCCACAUGCACACACGCACACACUCAUGCUCACACACACAGAGAUAUAUUAAAGCACAAGUUUCUAUCUGACCUGCCAGCACCUUCUUUACUGCAAAGACAGGGGACUUGCCUGAAUGGCAUCCGCCAACCCAGGGACCUCGGCACAACAUAGGCCUUGUCCUCGCUGCACUCGUGGUGUGCUUCUGACUUUACCCUGUCCCCUAAGUCAAGGCCGAACUCCAGCCUGGUGGCUUUGCCAGAAGGGAGCCAGAAGUGGGGCAGACAUGGAGCCCCUCCCUUGGUCAGACUCUGGGACUCCUGAGAUGGGAGAGGCAGGGAUCAGAGGAGGAACAGGUGGGACUUUGCGAGCUCUGUGACUGUCCCACGUCCAGGAGACAAGGAAGGUAGGGCACCUGCUGCACACGACUCUGUCCAGAGUGAGCACUGGAUGGUGGAGACCAUAGGUCACCCCAGAUUCCCUGACCUAUUUCUGGGACACCAUAUUUCCCUCCUCAGUGUGCACCCUUUGAAGGGACCCAGCACAGGGUCUUGGGCCUGGGCAGUCUGAAGACUGAUAACUUCCCCACUCCACCCUACAAGCAGUGGGACUCCUGAGAACACAGUUCCCUCCUAGCCUCAGCCUCCAGCUGGGUCUCAGAGGAGCUGGGGGAGUGGUGGCCAGCCCAUUUUCUGGGGUGAGGCUUGACUUCGAAAAAGGCAGAAGAGACGUCCUGCUUCUGUGAUUUGGUGCCCCCAUAUCAGACAAUGAAUUUGGAAGUGGAGAGGGGCCUUCAUUUCUUAUUUACUUGGCAUGAAAGGGUGCCCUGGAUAGGAGGGUGUGUACAGGGCAAAAUGCCAAAAAGUACUGUCUAGUUGAAAGUUCCCUUCUCCACCCAGGGGCAGUGAAGGAGGAGGGGCUUAUAGAGCUAGGAUUGGUGGAGGGAGCAGGUGCCAGUCCCCUCACUCUCUGGGAGCUGUGAAAGGGAUCCCUGUCCUUGGGUCCUGGGUUAGGCACCUGAGGUUGACAUGAUGGGAUCUAGAUCUUUCCUCCUUGACAUCACCUGAGCCCCCACCUAGCCAUCCAUGGGAGAGAGAAGGCCCAGCCCCUUCUAGAAUGAGUCUUUAUGCAUGCGUGCAUAUGUGUGUAUGUGUUUGUGCCCGUCUGUGUCUAGGUACCACCGUGGGUACAUUGUUGGGCAGGAGUGUGUGCAAACACAGGUCUGUGUGUGCAAUCUCACAUAUCUGCCUGUGAGACUGGAUUGAGACCCAUUCGUUUCUGUGAAUGUCCGUGUACGUUAGCGUGUGUGUCCACCUUCCUGAGUGAUGUGUUCGCUUGUAGGGUGCUGGCUGAAUAGACUCUGUCCAGCCCUGUUCUGUAGUCUCAAGCUGCCUGCGAUGGCCUGAAAUUCCACCUUUCAUCCCCUAUGGAUGACAGAGAGCUUACAGAAGACCUUAUUGAAUGCAAGCACCUUUGGUGAGGAGCAUCACAGGGCUCCUUCUGGAGCAUUUGGUGGGGACAGCUGCAGAGAAGAGGCCUGGAACUCGGGCAGCACUGCAGCGCCAGGAGGCAGGCAGGGAACCGAGGCAAAGGCUGCCCAUCUCCCCCUGCCAGGCCUGUGUGAUCAUUAUCACCAACAGCUGGUGGGUGGCCGGGCCAGGAUGCAGCGGGGCCUUCUGAUGCCCAAUCAGCACGGCUGCCUUCCUGGCCCAGUCAAGGCCUCUGUCUGAAAUGAGUGGCUCCAGGUUCUCAGCAUACACUUCCAUCGCGUCUGUCGGAUAUUGUUCCUUAACUGUCCCAUCUGUGCAGAGUCCGUUGCCCCAACUAGACUGUGAGCUCCUCCUCUGAGCCUUCCAAGUCCUCCCUCCACCUCCGCCACCUCCCGCUCGUGCCCAGCACAAGUGAGCCUGGUGUGGAAACCACUCCAUUGCCCGGUGGAAUGGAUUCUGUAAUCAGUGGUUCCUGGCCUUGCCUGCAGAAUAGAACCACCAGAGUCCUUUAAAAAGCAUUGCUGCUUGGUUCCCACCUCAGAGGUUCUGAGUUAAUUGGACUGGAGCACAGUCGGACAUCAGAAAUGUUGAAAAGCUCCUUGGGUUCUCCUGACAGCAGGAACCACUGGCCUGGCACCACCUGGGUGCUUCCUCUGUGCCCUCGCUGGGGUAGGCAUUGGAGCACCAGAGAUGAAUAGCCCCAAGUGCUCCCUCUUUGGGGUUCCCAAGGCACCCUGUGCCUGCUUCCCUCAGAGGACCUUCCAAUCCAUUUGCCCCGCAACCCUGGCUGCUCCGACAGGGGGGACUUGUCUCCCUUGUUCCCCUCAGGAUCCAUAGAGCGGACAGUAAAGGUGCUCAGUACAUGUUGGCUGAGCUGAACUGUAUACAUGUGGCCCCCAGGUUCCUGGUCUUUAUGGAAGAAGGGCACAAGGUGGAGGGGGGAUGGGGGGAUGCUGCUGGAGGUCUCAGUGGGUGCAGACAGCCCUGCCUUGAGGAUGGCUUGACCUGGGAUUGACAAAGUGUGUCUGCUGAAAUGCUGAGGUCCCCACGUGUGAAUGGGUGAGGCUGAUGUGUAUGUCUGUGUGUGCCAGCAGGUGGGUGGGGGAUGUGGGUGUCAGUGUAUGCCAGUGGGCACUGUGAAUGUCUAGGCAUGUGCUGGUCUCUGUGUGUUUGUGUGUUCCUCAGCAGGAAUGAGUGUCUUUGUGUAUCACCACGUGACUUGUCAGUGUCUGUGUCUGUGUGUGCCUGUGAGCCAGCAUCUCUGUAUCAGUGUUGCUCAUGCUGUGUGUCUUUGUGCGCCGUGGUGUGUCAGUGUCUGUGUGUUGAUGGGUGGCCCAUGAGUGACCCCCGCCAGGGGAGACCAGGCUGGCUGGAUCCAGCACAUCUCCCCAGUGGCAGCCUCGCCCUCUGGGUCAGGGUGACUGAGGCAUUUUGUGGCCUUAAAACGGGGUGUUCAGGGUCAGCCCUCAGGGUGCUGGGGCCCUUCCAUCCCUUGUCCCCUUCAGGUUGGUGAAAAGGACUCCGGGGGCCAGGUGCUGUAUAGCAGCUUAUGGAAGUCUCAGCUGGCCUAUCCUGCCCUUGGGAGCACAGACAGGCUCCUAGGGUGCUGAGUGAAGCCUGAAGACCAAGCCCCCUCCUCCUGGAAUGCUCCUUCCACCCCUGCCUCUCAGAGAUGGGCCUGACACCUCUUUCUCAUUCAUUCUCCUUUUCCCUGUGCUCUGGGAAAGCCCCUGGCUCAGGCUGUCAGAGUGAGGAUGGACCUCAAAAGUUCAAUCCCCUCGUGCAGAUGAAGAAGCUGAAGCCCAGAAUGGGGAAGGGGAGUGGCCCAAGGUCACACAGCUAGUUUGAGUAGAGCCAGUCUUGGGAGAGCCAAGUGCUACAGCCCUGGGGGUGUCAUACCACUUGUCACUGCCCCUGAGGUCUCCUGCCAAACAACUGCAGGGAGAUUGGCUAACACUCCUGUCUCCAG
Molecule: small RNA, 5120 nt
Filed under: Pan troglodytes (chimpanzee)
Lineage: Eukaryota; Metazoa; Chordata; Mammalia; Primates; Hominidae
Description: retained intron
Source: RNAcentral